RNAcentral lists this ribosomal RNA (492 nucleotides) under uncultured bacterium. RNAcentral's name for it is "partial 16S ribosomal RNA". It matches the Rfam family "Bacterial small subunit ribosomal RNA", at positions 29 to 507 of the family's 1533-position model. The record is from RNAcentral.
AGUGAGCGCUGGCGGUAGGCCUAACACAUGCAAGUCGAACGGCAGCACAGUAAGAGCUUGCUCUUACGGGUGGCGAGUGGCGGACGGGUGAGGAAUACAUCGGAAUCUACUUUUUCGUGGGGGAUAACGUAGGGAAACUUACGCUAAUACCGCAUACGACCUACGGGUGAAAGCAGGGGAUCUUCGGACCUUGCGCGAUUGAAUGAGCCGAUGUCGGAUUAGCUAGUUGGCGGGGUAAAGGCCCACCAAGGCGACGAUCCGUAGCUGGUCUGAGAGGAUGAUCAGCCACACUGGAACUGAGACACGGUCCAGACUCCUACGGGAGGCAGCAGUGGGGAAUAUUGGACAAUGGGCGCAAGCCUGAUCCAGCCAUACCGCGUGGGUGAAGAAGGCCUUCGGGUUGUAAAGCCCUUUUGUUGGGAAAGAGAAGCAGCAGGUUAAUACCCCGCUGUUCUGACGGUACCCAAAGAAUAAGCACCGGCUAACUUCGUG